Molecule: ribosomal RNA, 373 nt
Filed under: uncultured organism
Description: partial 16S ribosomal RNA
Rfam family: Bacterial small subunit ribosomal RNA
Source: RNAcentral
AUAGGUGGCAAGCGUUGUCCAGAAUUAUUGGGCGUAAAGCGCGCGCAGGCGGGUCCUUUAAGUCCGAUGUGAAAGCCCACGGGCUCAACCGCGGAGGGUCAUUGGAAACUGGGAGACUUGAGUACAGAAGAGGAAAGCGGAAUUCCAAGUGUAGCAACAAAAUGCGUAGAGAUUUGGAGGAACACCAGUGGCGAAGGCGGCUUUCUGGUCUGUAACUGACGCUGAGGCGCGAAAGCGUGGGGUGCAAACAGGAUUAGAUACCCUGGUAGUCCACGCCGUAAACGAUGAGUGCUAAGUGUUAGGGGGUUUCCGCCCCUUAGUGCUGCAGCUAACGCAUUGAGCACUCCGCCUGGGGAGUACGGCCGCAAGGCUG